RNA transcript from Mirounga angustirostris (Northern elephant seal), 42256 nucleotides. It is a transcript of the gene named ubiquitin-like modifier-activating enzyme 5, with no coding region annotated. The record is from RefSeq and is a predicted model, not a curated record. NCBI's taxonomy places the organism in Eukaryota, Metazoa, Chordata, Mammalia, Carnivora, Phocidae. The transcript is spliced from 3 exons.
CCUGAAGAACGGAGGCCGUUUCGUGGCGCUGAAGCGCGUGCGGGUGCAGACGGGCGAGGAGGGCAUGCCGCUCUCUACCAUCCGCGAGGUGGCGGUGCUGAGGCACCUGGAGACCUUCGAGCACCCCAACGUGGUCAGGAUUUUACAGUUUUUGCUUUUACGUUAACUCUGUGAUACAUUCAAGUUAAAUCUUUGUGUGUGGCUUGAGAUUUUAUUCAUUUAUUUGAGAGAGAGAGAGAGCACAAGCCAGGGGGAGGAGCAGAGGGAGAAGGAGAAGCAGACUCCCCGCUGAGCAGAGAGCCCAAUGCAGGGCUCAAUCCUGAGACUCCGAGAUCAUGACCCGAGCUGAAGGCAGACACCUAAUUGACUGAGCCACCCAGGUGCCCCAAGAUCUCAUUUCUGAGUAGAAAUUCUGGGAGGCUCAUUUGGAGUAGGGAUGGAGUAUCUUUUAUCAGGCUCAGUUGGAGUAGGGGUGAGAGUAUCUUUUAUCAGGCUUUACUUUUGAGUGAAUGGGAAAACUGGCUGUCAGGAUGAGGAAGAACCCCCAAAUGCCAUAACAAGAAGGGUUUUAUCCCAACGUCUUUGGUAUGGGGAUGACAGUGGGGAUGCCGACCAGUGCAGUUACCUGGUACAGACCUUCCUUCAGUUGACUCCCCUGCUUUGGCUGCGUUUCUCUCUCCCUUUCUCCAUCACACCUGCUGGCUCAGUCCGGCUCCUGCUUCCUCCACAGUGCCCUCAUAGCUUGUUCCAGGGCACUGGCCUUCCCUUCAGUAAAAAUAUUUGAGCAUGCCCCUGAUAGUCACUGACUUAUAAAAAUUACCUCUGAAACAAUGAAUCAUGGAACACUACAUCUAAAACUAAUGAUGUAAUAUAUGGUGAUUAACAUAACAAUAAAAAAUUUUUAAAAAUUACCUCUGUAUGCAGAUAUGUAUAUAUAUAAAUGCACAAAAGUGAUGAUUUUGAAAUGAAGAAAUAAAAAAUAGUCCAUAAUUAAAAGGUAUUUUCUUAAUGUGGUUCCUGAAUUACAUGUUCACCCAUCUAGAGACCACUAUCUUUUUGGUGACUUUCUCUGCCAAUUUCCUCGAUCAACUUGCUUCUAUUUAUUUUCAGUCAUCCAGAAAAUCUACUAAACUCUCAGUUUUUUGAUGGCAUCUUUCUUUACUUACGGGUUUUAUUUCUUUUUCUCUAGCAGUAUAUUGAGAAAGACUGGAGGCAAAUAUUUGCAAUGGGUCUGCCAUUUUUUUUGUCGUUGUUGUUCUUUUUUUUUAGAGAGGGAGUGGGGAGGGGCAGAGGGAGAGAGAGAAUCUUAAGCAGGCUCCACGCCCAGCACAGAGCCCUAAGCAGGGCUUGAUCCCCCAACCCUGAGAUCAUGACCUGAGCCGAAAUCAAGAGCUGGACACUUAGCGGACUGACCUGCCCAGGCGCCCUGCAUCUGCCAUUUUGAAGUGGAAGUCCCAUCUGAUAUAUUUCUUAAAGUAAAACAUUAAAUAAUUAAAAUGUCAUUAUUUCUUGCAAUUCAGUUUGCUUUCCUGAGUGGGAGCAAAAGGAUGUCGCUAAAGGUAGUGGCCUGAGAAUUGCUUAUAACCUGUAGGAGGUUUUAUUUAUGCAGCAGUCUUCACAUUUGGAUAGAUCAAUAGUAGUGUGAGUCAAGGAAGUAGCCCGUACAUUUCACCAGGAGCAAAAAUAAGUUGAAGAACACAUGCUCUGGAGACAUAUGGAAAUCAUGUGAGAUAGACUUUUCCCCUAUUUUUGUGACAUUCUUUAAUUUUGCGGACAGCCUGGAAAAGAGCUGUAUAUGUAGAAAGAACAUUGUCACCAUCUUCCAUUUGCCUGUUGGACCUGGUGAUCUACAAUCAUAGUCAUUCUCGGUUUUCAUACUGUCAUUUCUAGGUUUUCAUAUAGCAUCCCAACAGCUGGUGUAAACCCGUAACAUGCAGUAAUAAUUUGACAUCAUAGUGGAAAUGUUAGCCAAUUGAUUUUUCUUCAGACAAACCAACUGAAAAAAUAAGCCCACUAUGAAUUAAUUCUUUGCAGGAAUUUCCCAUGUCUGAUGAUUUAAAAGAAUAAAUUCUGCAUGUAAAUGAAUCAUUACAAGCUUAAUUGAAGCUUGUUGGAUACUCAAGAUUACUCACUGUGGUGUGUUUCUGAUGGAGACAGGAAGUGAAAAAGCAAGGUCUAUGAGAUUUUUUUUGUGCAUGAAGUCUCAGCCAGUCUUUUUAAUGUUUCUCAUUGAGGCUUUGUCGCUAGGGUAAAUGACUCAAGGUAUCUAUUGCCGCUUAGCUGUUUUUUAAGGGGGAAUUUCCCCCCACGCUCCUCCCUUCCCCAAAAUAGCUAAUUAUAUACUGGAAGUUUCAGUACAUUGUUCACAGUUUGUGAAGUCAGCAUAUUUCUGGAAGCUCGCUGUGAAUGUAGUUCUUAGCUGUACUGAUGCUUUUGUUUCUCCAUCUCUGCAGCCAGCACUGUACUGUAAGGACACAAUUCUAUCGCUAUUUUUUCCCUCACAUUUGAUGUGGUAGUUUGCAUACAGCUGCAGAGUAGACAGUUACCUUUGAAAGGAACAUUUGGCUGCUCUAAUUUGAUUAAAGAAAACCACCUCAAUCAUUUCUAGACUGAGAACGUUUUCAUUUUAACUUGGCAGUGGGAGUUGGGAAUGUACUCACUGCACUUAGAUAUGUGGGGGAGCAGCCGGAACAAAACCAACUGCUCGAAUGGAGACAGCUUUGGUGCAGUUGUUUUUGUUGUUUUUGUUUUGUUUUGUUUUUUGGUUUUUUUUAAGGCAAGCAGUGUUAUAUAUGAUUGAUUCUCUUUCUCUCUCCCUCCCAAAUUUUCUACAGCCUUGAUUUUCACCUCUGUUCCCUUUUCACAGGCUUUUCCUUAGCAUUUCCAGUAAGCUGAUUGUGGCAGGGGUAGAAUGGUACCCUAAAGUGAUCUGAAGGACUUGGAGGUCCUCAAAAAAUUCUCCCAUUUCUAUAUAAAAAGAAAACCCCAAGUCAUAAAUGAUUAUGAGUUGGACAUGCUUUCUUGGCCACCGUUGAGUGGCUAAAAAAGGUUUUCGACCAUGCAUGCACAGACCAAGGUUGGGAAUUUAGUUGAAAGUUGCACAGAAGAGAAUUGCCUGCCGUCAGAAGCCUGCAGCCCUAGUGCUAGACUAUUAUUAAUUAUCUCACAUAUGUCUCCUUCUGAGAUAGAAGAAAGUCCGAUCACCCGGUCAGUAUGACAGUUGAAAUACAUUCUGAUGAUUGUGGGUUGGCAUCCACUUUAUCCAUGUGUUAUUGGAAACAGUUGAGCAGGGGCUUAGUCUGUAGGGUAAACCAUGAAUGAAUUCAUGAACCACAGUUCAGCAAUGUAAGAUAUGGUGCUCUUGGGAAGGUACUAUGGUGGCAUCCUAAAAAGUUUGUGAAAUUUUAAAUAAAAAGUAUGAGGGUACACAUGGAGUCUUGGAAAUACAACCACAUUAUUAUUAAUUGAGCCUUGGAUAUUAUUGAUAACCUAAGAGUCGAAGUCAAAUGUGGGCUCACAUUCACAUUCUCCCCCAUGACAGUAUGACUUGACCACAUUAUACUUCUUACCUGUCUAAGCUUUAGUUUCUUCAUUUAUAAAAUUAGGACACAUAUUAAAUUAUGUUUCUGAAUUUAGGUUCCUGUUACGUGUUUGACACUUGGCAAAUACUUAGUUACCUCACUGCCUCUUCCUCUCCUCCUUGGUAUCACCAUUCAACUACUUGGAAUGUUUUGAGGGAGAGUGGUGUUGUUCAUGGAAUGUGUGGCCAAACUCAGCAAAGUCCUCUUGAAAUUCUGAUAUUAUGUGCAGCUCUCACUCUCUUAGACAUAAAUUAUUAAGGCUAGCAGGACUCUGUCAAGUCCACCUAGCUUUCCUAUGGAUAAUAAGCCCUAGGCAGACAUUAUAUCAGGUACUAGUUAAGAUACGAGCACAGUGGAUAUGGAAAUUGUUCAGCAAAUGUUAGCUGUUGGAUAGAGUUAUGUUGUCAUCUUAAAUUCUUUUCCAUCUUGUGUCAUCUCUGGGUGCAAAAAUCAUUUCCACAUUUAAUCUCAAGGUUUAAUGAAGUCACCCUGGUCUGUUCUUCCUUUUGAGAGUUAAGGCCAAGAGGCAAUCUUCCUGUUUUGUUUUCACACACAGUCGGGAGAAUGUAAAUCUUUUUAGUCACGUCUGGGUCAUCUAAGUGUACAAAGACUGAAAAGGGACUGAAAGGUAAUUGUCCAAAGGCCACGGCUACAUCUGGAUUUGGCGACCCAAGAUUUCCAGUAGAUACAGCUUGGUAAAUGUAGUUGAAUCCCUGGCGAGCUCACAAUGCUGAUUUGUUCCAUAAUAUAACUGAAAAAAUUACCUCAAUGCAAUAAAAUUUUUUGCAGAAAGUAAUGCUUGCUGUGUUUGUUUUGUUCAGUUACCAAAAUUAUAACAUUAAACAAGAUUUUAAAAGUUAAUUACCAGUGAUUGAGGAAAAGUUGAUUUAAUUUGAAUACGUUUUGGAGACCUGUAGAGAUUCUGCAGAGAAAUGCUGAGGACUAAUUCUUGAUGUCACUUCAAACUUUCUUUUUCCUCAAUAAAGUAUUACUGUGAUAUUUCUCAUAUAUAAUCGCCUUUUAAAAAACACACUUUUAUAUAGCCCAGUACUACUGAAUACUGUCCAUGUCCUGCUGUUAGUGUUCCCAGAUUUGUCUUCUUGUGUGGACUCUAAUCUGGGUGACAAUGUAAACAUUCAAAUCCAGUGAAAUUAUUGAAUGUGUCUAAUGAAUUGCGUGGAGCCUGAGACCAAGAUUUGGUUUUAUUCCGUUUUUUAAUAAUGAAUGUCUAAUUCCUUUUUGCCCACGUGGUGGUUGUCUACUUAAGUGCUAUUAAUAGAGUUAUUCUCACAGCUGGGGGGAUUGUUAUUCCCAUUUUAUAGAUAAUGAAACUGACACAGAAUUUAAAUGUCCUGUUCAAGGUCACCUCGACUCCAGGUGUUAUUUCCCACAUCUUAGGGUUUUCUGUCUAGUACUACAGGUGUUUUAGUCAUGCCGGGAUCAUUUGGAUAUGACUGUUUUGGUAAUGCCUGUUGGGAAUUAAAUGCAAAUAAACUGGAUGCUAGCAAGGGCACACUGAUUAUUUAAGGAGGAAACUGGCUUCUGUUACCAGGAAUUGGGGUAUAAUCACUUAAUUUGACAUAUUAAAUGCCAUCUAUAUUUUAAUUUAAUUUUUCUAACAAUUUGUUUUAAUAGUCAUACGUAGAGACAAAUGCUCAUGGAAUUGGGACUGUUAAGGGAGGUUGUUAGGGUUCAUGCUGCUCUUUAAUGUGGUAGCAGUCGGCUUUCCAGGGCCUUGCCUCCCCUAGGCAGUGAGAAAAGGAAGAGCGUGGCAGGUCAAAGGAAGUACACUCACCUCUGAACCUGGCACCAGAAGUGCUGACGAGCGUGUCACUUACGCUCCUGAUGACUCAGCACUUCCUGGUUUCUCUCUGUCGCUGUGCUAGGGCUAAUAAUAUCGAAUGACCUUGGUCCAGACUGAGCGUUUCGGGGAACCUUUGGUUUCCUCAUCAUCAGACAUUUGAAAUCAGAAAUGAUUCUUUCCUUUCUGUUGCACGUUAAAAUUAAUGGUACUAGGUAUGAGCCGUUGUAUUCUCCGAUGGAUUACGUGCUUUUUGUUCUUAAGAUUAGAAGUAGCUUUGGCUCUGGAGUAUAAUAAAUAAAUACAUCCUUACCUCUCAAUGUGAGGCAGUCCUGUUAUAUAUAAAAUUCAUUUGGUCUUUGUAUUGUUUCUGUGCAGUCCGAUGACUGGGGCAGAGGUGGAAGGAAAUGAAGUUCAAAUUACAUUUGAAGUGUAUUUGCUACAUUGAUUUUAGGCAAGGCUUAGGGACCCAAGGUGCCGAGCAGGGAGGGAAACUGGAUCUGUUCCAUCGGGACCCUCAUUGCUCUCUGAAGAGUCCAGCACAGCCCCCUCUGUGAGUGAAACCAAAUUGUAUUUACUAAUUAGAUUUAUAUUUAGAACUAGCCAAAAUUAUUAGACUAAAAAGCUAUUAGUAUUGAGACAUCUGGAGAUGAAGCAGUUCAGAAAGCCUUGAAAAUUUUAGAAAACCUUGAAAAUGUUUUAACCUGUUUCCCCGGGCUGUUACAACAUUAAUUAUAGGACAUGGUUGAGAGUUUAUCCAUGUCGACAGCCAAUUUGUUUAAAAAUUUAUGAAGCAGUUUCAAAGUUAUUUUAUACAUUAUCCAGACAUAAAGUUUCUCUAGAAAUGUUUUUAUUAUUAAAGACAAUUUUAAAACAGUAGUUUUACAGUAGUUUUAAAACAGUAGUUUACAGUGAAGAGAUACAGCAAAAAUAAUGCUGUGUUUGGGGCACCUGGGUGGCUCAGUCAUUAAGAGUCUGCCUUCGGCUUAGGUCCUGGGGUCGAGCCCCACAUUGGGCUCCCUGCUCCGCGGGAAGCCCGCUUCUCUUCCUCUUCCCACUCCCCCUGCUUGCGUUCCCUCUCUCGCUGUGUCUCUCUCUGUCAAAUAAAUAAAUAAAAUCUUAAAAACACAUAAUGCUGUGUUUAAAACAGGUAUUUAUUAUCAAAUGCUUCUCUAUGUGUUUUAAUCUUUACAGAGGCCCCUAAAUAGCAAGAAUUUAACUGCUUCUAAGUAAGCAAAAGUAAAAACUCCUACAGAAAACAUAGCCCUGACCUUUUUGCACAUGUAAUCCAAACGGAAAGUUCGCUUUGAAGUGGGGUCUUAUUACAUAAUCAUACUGAGUGUAUGCAGUAAUAUGUAUUCCUUUGAAUGUCUUUCAUUCAGAAACAUAUUUUUGUUUAUUUGACUAUCUUACCAGCUGAAAAUGGAUUAUGUUCUGGUUGUUUCAUCUAACCACCCAACUUCAAAAUACCUGAGAAAUUACAUGAAGAGCUUCAUUCCAAAGCAUAACAUUUUCAGAGAGAUUCAGACCAUUGGAAAAUUGACCAUGGAAUUUCACUCCAUAGAUGAUUAAAAUAAAAAACAAAUAAUGGGAGAAAAUAAGCAGAAUUUAGAAACCCAGGUUUUGCCAGACAGAACACCUGUCCAAUCAGCAGUAAAUUAUUUUAAAGAGCAUUUACUUUCUAGAAGGUACUUAGUGUGGGUCAUUUGUUUCAGACAUGUCUACAAGCAUUUCUACCAGACUGUUUGGCCAACUCAGCAUUAAGGAAUAGAGCAUUCAGAAGCAUCACAAAUCAUUACAAAGAGUAUGAGAAUUAUGACCAGUACAGGCAAAAACAAAUGAAACCCCUUCUUUUCUUGGGUGUUCUCUGAGAUGCUGCUAUAGGAAUCUGAGGAUGGGUAGCAUUUGCUUAAGACUCCCAAGUUUCUGGUGCUGCCCACAGUACAAAAACUGACAUUUGAUGCCUUUUGCAUUUCCUCAUCUGCUGAUUUAGUGAGCAUUCUGCAUAUUGAGAAUUUCUCUGCAAGAAAUUCUACUUAUCACUAAAAAAACUAUAUGAGAUUUUUUUUUUUAAGAUUUUAUUUAUUUGAGAGAGUGCACAAGCAGGAGUGGGGGGAGGGGCAGAGGGAGAGGCUUGGGCUGGAGCCUAGUGUUGGGCUCGAGUCCAGGUCCCUGGGAUCAUGACCAAGCUAAAGGCAGACACUUCACCAACCAACCGAGUCACCCAGGCACCCCUCCCCAUGUGAGAUUUCUAAUUUUUGUAAUUGUUUGACAUUUUUAGGGAAGUCUUUUUGUUGAGUUACCUAAUUGAGGAACACUCCAAUUAAUAAGAAAACCUAGUUAAUUGAAAGUUGUCAUCUCUUCUGACCAUUAAGACCCAUUUUCAAAGAAUUAGAAUAUGACAGAUAUGUUGAACACUAAAACUUAUAAUUUAAUACUUUGUUGAUUAUUGAGAAAGUAUUUCAAGAUUUAUACUUUAUUGUAAUCCUUCCCAACUACGGUUACGAUGAACAUGUCCUAUUUCUGCUAUUUAGAUAAUUGCAGUUAAUAAAAUAUUAACUUGGUUAUAUGACUUGGCUAUCCAUGAAAGAGGAGAGGAUGCCUUACGUCUUGUCUGUUGAAGAAACAAAAUCUAUUGUGUUACGUGUUGAUUAGAUAUAAAAUUUAUUUAUUUUUUUAAGAGAGGGAGAGGAGGGACAUAGGGAGAGAGAAUCUUAAGCAGACUCCACGCUGAGCUUGGAACCCAAUGUGGGGCUCGAUCUCACAACCCUGAGAUCAUGACCUGACCCAAAUCAAGAGUCGGAUGUUUGUCUGACUGGGCCACCCAGGCGCCCCUAAAAUUUGACUCUUUAAAUCUAGAAAUUAUGGAGGGAGAGGUUGAGAUGGAAGUAGUGAAGAGCAAGCAGGGAGUUUAGGUAAAGAAUAAACUCCUAAACACUGAGAAGACAAAUGUAUAAGACGAAGAAAAUUCUGAAUGUAUAGAGGUAAAUAAAGUAGAGAAUGACCCCACAAAAAAUAAAUUAUUUCUUAAAGUUUUGAAAUAUCAUGAGUAGGUCAAAAUUAGGAUGGCAAAAAAUUCCUGGUUCUGAGAGAGUUUCCCUAGACUAGACAGAAAUGACGUUAAAGAAAGUAGAAGGAAAGAAAAAAACACCUAAAAGUGCCAGAGAGUAAUUAAGAAUUAAAAUGAGUUUGGAUCCAAAAUUGGUGAGAGCUACAACUUCACUGUGGUUUAUCUUAAAUUGUUGACCUGUUACCCAAAACCUACAUUUGUUUGUUCUUUUCAUAUUAUGUUUUUGGUGGGAAAUAAAGUAAAUUCAUCUUACAUUCAUCAGCUUUUGGUCUUAUAGUAAAAAAAAAUGGAUAAAAAUGUUGUUCUACUUGACAUGCAAAUAAGAGUUUUUGGUCUGUUCUACAUGUAAAAUUCCUGUUGGUUUUCAUUAUUGGCAUUAUUAUAUGUGGUAUCUUGUGCCUGUUAUCCAGUUACAGACAAACUCUUGCAUAUGUUAAAACGUGAACUGACUUCUUUAAACAGAUAAGUGGUAAUCAAUUUAGGACGUUGGAUUCUUCAUUUCUCUUUCGCAUCCCCACCACUCUUCAUGUGGGAACAUGUGCGUAUCCAUUUUGCACUUAAUUGCAUGUGUUUAUAAAGACGCUAAUCAAGUGGUUAAGUAGUGAUAAAAAUAAAGGAAUAGUGGUGGUGGGGAAUCACUAAAAAACCGUCACUAACGAGUCUGCAGUUGGUAGGGGCGCCUGGGUGGCUCAGUCGGUUAAGUGUCUGCCUUCAGCUCAAGUCAUGAUCCCAAGGUGGUGGGAUCGAGUCCCGCAUCUGGCUCCCUGUCACAGCGGGGAGCCUGCUUCUCCCUCUCCCCCUCCCCCUGUUUGUGCUCUCUGUCUUUCUGUCAAAUAAAUAAAUAAAAUCUUUUUAGAAAAAUAAAUGGUCCUAGAUACAUUCUCAAAAUACAUUGUUAAAUUUGGGGGGAGUUUGGAAGAGAGAGAUAUAUACAUACAUAUUUUAAAGAUUUAUUUGAGAGAAAGCGCAUGUGCACAAGCAGGAGCAGAGGGAGAGAAACUCAAGCAGACUCUGUGCUGAGCACAGAGCCCCUGCAUUGGGCUCUGUGCUCAAUCCCACGACCUUGAGAUCAAGACCUGAGCCGAAAUCAAGAGUCUGAUGCUCAACUGACUGAGCCACCCAGGCGCUCCUGGAAGAUAUAUUUUCUAUAUAUUUUUUAAGGGGAAAAUAACUAUCUAGUUUUACUUGAUGUCGAGGAUAAGAAGCUUCUAUGGAUAGGAUAUUGUACUCAUACCUCUUUCAAGAAGGUAGGUUUUCUUAACUUUUUUUUUAGUAAAAUAUGCAUAACAUAAAAGUUACCAUUUUAACCAUUUUCAGGUGUACAAUUCAGUUGCAUUAAAUGCAUCCACAUUGUUGUGGAGCCAUCACCUCUAUCCAGCCCCAGAGUUUUAUUUCUCCCUCUCUCACAAGAAGAUAGAUUUUUGUUUAUUUUAUUUAUUUAUUUUAAGAUUUUAUUUAUUUAUUUGACAGAGAGAGAGCGCACAAGCAGGGGGAGCGGCAGGCAGAGGGAGAGGGAGAAGCAGGCCCCCCGCUGAGCAGGGAGCCCGAUGUGGGGCUCAUUCCCAGGACCCUGGGAUCAUGACCUGAGCUGAAGGCAGACACUUAACCCACUGAGCCACCCAGGCACCCCAAGAAGAUAGAUUUUUUUUUUAAAGAUUUUAUUUAUUUAUUUGACAGAGAGAGCACAAGUAGGCAGAGAGGCAGGCAGAGGGAGAGGGAGAAGUAGGCUCUCCACUGAGCAGGGAGCCCGAUGCGGUGCUCGAUCCCAGAACCGUGGGAUCAUGACCUGAGCCAAAGGCAGGCACUUAACCGACUGAGCCACCCAGGUGCCCAAGAAGAUAGAUUUUUAAAUGACAUUUUGUCACCAGAUGAGAACCAGGCAGUAGUUCAUGAUACAGACAGCAGGUUUAGUGUUAGGAAUAGAAAUAAUAGAGACCCACUAAAGCUAGCUCAAGAAAGAAGGAUAUUACUGUAAAUGCACAGGCCCUUCAUGAGAAUCUUUACACAUUUGUCUUCUUAGGACAGGGGAUCUGGACUCCAGGACCCUAUAAGGAGUGCCUGUGGUCUAUCUUGCACCAGGGAGUUGCCUCUGAGUGUUUGUCCUCACUACUUCCUGUGUGUCUUCAUACCCAGGGCUUCCUCAUAGCCUUCACAUCCAAGGGCCUGUGGUGGUCUUCACAGUUUCUGCGUCUGUGUGAGGUUUUUGGUGUGGUGCCCUGCAGCAGCAUGCAAACACUGGUUUUUAGUUCAUAUUUCAGAGAGUGUGAGGCUUGGUGUGGGGUGGGGAAACAAGCCCCAGUCUAGGAAAGACUGGAUUUUCACCCUGGUUUUCACAUGGUGAAGAAAAUUGGUUGACAUUUGAUUCUUUGUUGUGCUAGCUAACGUCUGAGUCUUUAAGAAGCAAAAUACCGUGUUUGUCAUGAAAAUGCAGCUUUAGGAUAAUUCUUUUUUUUUUUUUUUUUUAGAUUUUAUUUAUUUGACAGGGGUUUGGGGGGAGAAGGAACAAGCAGGGGGAGCGGCAGGCAGAGGGAGAAGCAGACUCCCUGCCUAGCAGGGAGCCUGAUGCAGGACUCGACCCCAGGACCCUGGGAUCAUAACCUGAGCCCAAGGCAGACGCUUAACCGACUGAGCCACCCAGGCGCCCUGCUUUAGGAUAGUUCUUAAAUCGUUUUGAAUUUUGACUAAGCGUUUCAAAGCCAUAUGUAUGUUCCUAAACAGGUUUACAAUUGCAUGCCAACACCUAACAGUAGCUUUUAGCGAUAGACACUUGAAGAAGUUUCAACUUGAGAACACUGAAGAUGUUCAUGAAGAGUAGGUUGCAUGGAUGAGCAUAAUCAGUUCCUGGCCACAGCAAUGCAUAGAGCUUACUCAUUCUGGCGGGAAAGUCAUGCUCUUCAGAUUGAAAAAUUGGAACAUCAUUACAGAAAAUGGAUUUUUAUUUUAAACCAUUGAGCAGAAAUGCUGCCUGGCUUCAUGAUGACUAGAAGACACCUUACGUAUAAUUAACUCAGUGGCAAAUGCUUUUAUCAACACACCCAAAUGAGCAGCAUCUCUUCUGAUGCUGGAUGACUUGAGCUCAGAGCUCAGAGAAGGGGCAACAUGGCGGCGAUGCUGGAGGGGCAGGCUCCACAGAUCAGCUUCCGACCCCUCCCAGGUUUAGCCCUGCCACUCUGUAUGUGCCUACUUUGGGGGCACUGGUUAUGUGACCAGUUCUCUUCCACUGAUGCUGUAAGCACCCUUGAAUUGAGAGAAAGGGCUAUAUGUUUUUUAGAGUUGAAGAAAUUACAGACUUUCAGAGCUACUCAUUCAUUUGUUCAGUCUUUGAACCGGGAUUAUCUGUACAAGCACUGCUUGACCAGUAUUUCUCUCCCAAGAUCCCAUUACAGCAGUGGUCUUCAGCUGGGAGCAGUUUUACCUCUUGGGGGAUAUUUGGCAAUCUCUGGAUGCAUUUUCUUUGUCAUGGCUGGGGAAGGGUAUUGGUACUAGCAUCUAAUAGGGGAAGGUCAUGGAUUCUGUUAAAUAUCCUGCGAGGCACAGGACAGCCCCUACUGCAAAGACAACGCAAAAUGUUGAUAGUGCUGAGGUUCAGAAGGCCUGCAUUACAGAAAAGCACUGGUUAACAUCAAUUUGUAGGAGGCAAAAGAUAGUAAAAGUUGGUGGUAUAAAUUAGGGGAAACACAGAGGCCCAACACUAUUUAGCAUUGAUAAGGUUAACAUUCAUCUAAUCAGCACCCUGAUGUUAGUCUUUCCCUUACCAUCAAUGGGUGAGAAGAGGAAAACCCAGAGUAGGGAUAACUUUCUUCCUUACUUGUUUAAUUGGGAGCGAGAUGAGAUGGCUGAGAUGAAUGGAGCUAAGGUCAACUGGAAAAUUUGGGAUUUCCUUAAGAGUGUGGUUUGGGACUGGAAUCCACGAUGAAGGGCAGAACUAAAAGGUUGUUGCAUUUGUCCGUUUACUGAAUUUUCAUCAGUUUUAUUUUAGUCCUGCUAGGGAAUCCGAGGUUUCUGAAAAAGGACUAAGGAAGUGGCACAGCUCCUUUGACCCUUCCUUACAAGAGGAUACACUUAUCCUCAAGUGAAGAAAGCCUCAGGUAGUUCCAGACAACUGACACCUCUGAUUAGAGCCCUCUCCAGCUUCUGGAUGCAUCGCCUCCUGUCUAUUCUUUACUGUCUUUCGUAUCACAGUGCCUGGCCUAUCAGGUUUUAUGGUUUUCCUUCCAAUGCCUCCAUUUAUAAAAUGUCAUUAACCCAUAUGAGGGGAUUAAAUAAAAUAACCAGUGGAGAAGAACUCCCAAGAUGAAUUGAAGUGAGUGAUUCUGAAGUUUAUGAGUGUGGUAGAUGGCAUCGAUAGGUUGAGUCUUCACCUGUUUUUCUCUUCCUCUAGACUUGACCCUGGAAGAUUAGUUUCCCUUCUACUUGACGUGGUCUGAUAUUAACCAAGUCCGAGAGGUUUACCUGUAGAGUAUGCACUUGUCUUCAGAGGUUAGGCUCUGAUCUCAUCAGCUCCAUUAAGAGCAUUUCUGGAAAUGUAAGCCUUCGUUGAUCAUUAAGUUUGUUCCCCCUGGUUUAACUCUGUGUUCUGUCUUGUCCUGUGGGGCCCGGGCUUAUGUCACAUGUGCAUGUCUUCUUCCCUCAACUCUAAUGAAAGAUCUUUGUGGAUAGAGCUCACGACUUUUUCUUUGGUGGUUAGCAUGCUGCUGAGCAUACUGCAGGUGCUUAAUAAAUGCUUCUUUGGUGGGAUUGUGUGAGAUAAUUCUAUCUCUUUAGAAAUUACAUCAGAAUAAUAUGCACAAAGGCAGUCACAAUGAUGGGGUAUUAAAAAAACUUGAAAAGAUUAAUUACUACCAGCCAUCCUAACAUGGGGUAACACGGGGAACGGUAGCUUUUAAAAAUAGUAUGAGAACAUAUGCAGAAGUGAACACUAUCCCUCAAUAGCAGUAGUUUCUCAACCGAGGGAGAUUUUGCACCCAGAGGACAUUUGGCAAUGUCUGUAGAUAUUUUUUGGUUGACAGUUGGAGGGAUACUAUUGGUAUCUAGUGGGUAGAGCCAAGUAUGCAGCUAAACACCCUAAAUGCACAGGCCGGUUCCCCACAACAAAGAGUUGUCUGGCCUCAAAUGUGAAUAGUGGCCUGGUUGAGACAUCCCAGUGCAUAGCCUUGUGUGGACACCACCAUGAACGUCCUUUACCACCUAAAGGAAUGAGAACAAGCAAAAAAACAGUGCCUAUUUUUAUAUGGAAGAAACUAUUAUAUAUUAUAAACUCCUAAACAGUGCGAACUGCAGCUAUAUACAUAAACCAGAAUGAUCUGACAGUUAAAAAGAUGUGUGAUAGCUGCUCAUGUAAUAAACGGCGCUUUAUGUCUUUGGCCGUGACUUUGGGAGGAGAGGACAGUAAGUUGAAAGAAUUCUCUUAAGGGUGUAUGCACCUUUCCAUGGUUUUAGAAAAUGAUGGGCCUUUGCUAACCCAGAAAGAUGUAUUUGAACAUUACAUUUUUGAAAGUCACAUUUUUAAUACGCUGGAAUUCCUCCGACAGGUUUGAUAGUUAGAAUGCUGUGAAGCAUGCGUCCUUCUGUUUUUUCAAAUAUUUUUAAAGCUUCCUUGAAGAAUGCUUGAUAAUUUUUAAGGUAUAAGAAUAAUGUGCUUUCCCUCCUGAAAUUAACUUUGGGAGGUACUUUUGCUGCAUUCAGUGGCAGAAUGGUACAGUGGGAAGGACCGUUCACAGAGGGAUCCUAGAUGGGUCACCUUAACCAUGCCCACCCCACAACCCCCACCCCCCAGUUUGCUCAUUUUCAAAAAGGAGGACUAAGACUUGAUGACCUUGGCUUUAAAAUUCUAUGUUCCUAUAAUUUUAGUAUCAAAUAGUAAAAAAAGAGAUUGUUUGUGCAAAGUUUUUUAUGAGAGAAAUUUUGAAGGCAUAAAUUAUUCCAGUUUGUUUCUUAGAAACUGAAGAAAUAAUCCUUUUCUACAAAGGCUCACUCCCAGUGUUUAAAGAAAGAAAGGAAUUCCUGUUAUAAGUAAACGUUGUCCCCACCUCCAAACAAAAUAAAAAGGGUCAAGUAAAAUUUACAACUGAUUUUAAAAUGUCAUUGUUAGCUAAUUUUGAAAAUUUUUGCCUAUUUUCUUCUAUGUGUUUAUACUUAAGUAUAAAGAAAACAUUUUAAUAGUACUAAUAAUGCUGAGUUUUUCACACUAGCUUCCAGAAAAUUGCUGUUUGUAGAGGUGUAAAACACAUUUGAAAGCUUUAUUAAGGUUUUUAGUCUACCAUUUAGUAAGUUAUUGGGCUCUGAAUGAAAGGAUGAAGCUUUCCUGUUUGCUGCAUGGAAAAUUAAAUGGAACCUUGAAAUUUCCUCCUUUUUCCUAAAGUGGCAAUUGAGAUAUUCACAAAAUUGAGGAUGUUAUAAUAUGCCAAGAAAUGAAGCUUGCUUUUGUGGUGUCUCUAUUCUGAAGAGACUGGGAAUUUGGUUCUGGUAUAUUCCAGUUUCCACAGGGGCGUAUUCUAGAACUCGGUAUCAGGAUUGCCUGAGUUGAAGAUGCUUUUUGGAUGGACCCAAAGAUGCUAAGGCAUCCAGUUACAGUUUGGAUCUCAUUCCCAGAGUUAAUGUUGCCUACAGAGAAUCGCAGUAUGUGACAUGGGAUACAUUCAUAAAAUAGUGUCUUUCCACCUAGCAGAGGUUAACUGAGAACCUCUUUCCACCUAGCAGAGGUUAACUGAGAACCUCCUGAGUGCAAGGUACUUAAUAUAAACAAUAUGUACAGUGGGGAAUCAAAAAGUGUAUUAACGGUCCCUAUUUUCAAUGAGUUCAUGACCUAGCAGGAGGAAAGACAGAAGGGACCCAUGCAAACUACUAUAAUACAAAGAAUAAAGUAAUACGGACCAUUCGGAGUCACAGAUACAAUUCUAGGCUACCUCAGAAGAAGAAAUUGUUUAACUUGUGGGAGCAAGAAAGUUAGACUCCACAGAAGAGGUGAACAAUGAGCAGAAUCACAAAAGUGGAGAUGAAUGACGUAUGAUGCAUGGCAGAUGAGUCUGAGGUGUUGAGUUGACCAGAGCGAGAGGGGAAAGGAAGGAAGUAGUAGAGAUACGCACAAGUGAUGGGAAUAAUAAGAGAAUAAUAGAAUAAACCAGGUUGAAAUAGAAUCUAGAGACAAGCAAACUAGUUAGGAGAUGGACCAUUUCUUGGGGAGAGAGAAAAAAAAUGGUGGCCUAAAUCGGGAUAGUUUCCCCGAAAUGAGAGGAAAGUAUGAGAGAGUUGAGUGCAAGAAUUGGCCAGUCUGGGUAGCUGGUUGGGUGUGUGGGUGAGCAGGGCCAUAGAGUCAGCAAGAUGAAUUGGGGUUGGUUAGCCUGAGUAAGAGAAUGGUGGUCUACUCUUAGAAAUAGGACUCCCAGGAGAAGGGGUGGGUUUGAGGGACACCAAUGAGUUCUGUUUUGAACACGUUAAGUUAUAUGUGCUCUCAGGAAGUAGCCAAGGCAGAGUUAUAGUUGAAGUACAGGAAAUUGCAAGCUCCAGAGAGGAAUCCAGAAAACCUGUAACAUUCUUAAAGGAGACAUAGAUCUUUUUGAGUCCCACAUUUGGAAUACCAUAUUGUGCAUAAUGUGUCCCACCACAGGGAGCAACCCACAAACACCCCAUGUGCAAACUGAGCACACGAGUAGGCUUGUGUCACCAGCUAAAAUUAAAAUGCCUUGUUAACACACACCAGUUUUCACAAGCACAGGUUUUUUUCAAAUCAUGCCUCAAACAAUUGCUGUCCGUAGUUGAUCUUGAGGUCACUGUCAAAUUGGAUACAACAUAUUAAAUCAGUGACUGAGCAAGAGCACCCAUAUGUUGAGGGAAGAGUAAGACUGAGAAUGGAACCUCAAGAUUACCUGCAUUUAGGAUUGAAAGAGAAAAAAGAGUCAGAGAAGAAGGCAGAGACCAGAGAAGGAGAGGGAGAAAAGCAAGAUAAUUCAGGGAAGUCUUGGGAGGGGAGAGUUUCAAGGAGAAGGAGGCAUUUCCUUCAGGUAUCUCAAGUGCUGCCAAGAGGUUGAAAAGAUUGCAUUUAGUAGUGGGAAGGUAGCAGUAUCUCUCUGAGAGACAGAUUUUGCUGGAAGAGAGAGAAAGGGGGGAAGCCAGGUCACAGAUAACAAAGGAAUGAGAAAGUGUAGCACAGAGUAGACUAUCAUUAAGUAAAUUGAGGGGAUGAAAUGUUGUUAGAAUGACAACCAGGUUGAAAUAAAAGUGGUUUAACUUUUUUGGUGUCAUUAUACAAAGGAAAUAUGGGUGUGUUUGUAGAUGCAGAGGAGAGUUUGGAGAGGAAUGAUAAAGAAUAAAAACUGAGGGGCUCCUGGGUGGCUCAGUCGGUUAAGCGUCUGCCUUGGGCUCAGGUCAUGAUCCCAGGGUCCUGGGAUCAAGCCCUCUAUUGGGCUCUCUGCUUGGUGGGGAGUCUCCUUCUCCCUUAAGUUCUCUGUGUGUGCUCGCUCGCUCUCUCUCAAAUAAAUCUUUUUAGAAAAAGUAAAAAUUGAUGAAAUGAGGACUUAGCAGAGGGUGGAGGGCACAGUUGGUGGCGGGAUACCUUUUCUUGGAGAGGAGGAUACUUUCGUCUGAAACAUGAGGGAUAGAAGACCCAGGAAUGAGGCAAAUGGCUUUGAUUUUCUUCUCUUACAAGAAAAGACCAUAUGCAGAGAGCAGGGAGGAAUUGGGAGCCCUAAGUGAAGGCUGAAGGAAGUGUCUGGAAUUAGGCAGAGAGGGUGGAGGAAGAAAAGCCACAUGUUGAAGACCAGGAAGUGGGAAAAUUGGGUGUCCUAAGAGGGUGGAAGAAUCUAAAGUGAUUAACAUCCCUGAAGCCCCUUAGCCAUAGAGAGAGUGUCCUUCAUUCAGCUAUAAAUGAAGGCUUUAUAAUGUGCUAAAGGUAUGCAUCAAGAGAAGCCUUAUGCUUUAAAAAAAAUUGUUCUAAUAUGUGAAAUAAAAACUAAAAUUCUUAAGAUUAAGUCAUACUCAUCAUCAUCUCACAACUAAUCUUUAAUUGAACACUUAACAUGUCCCAAGCCCGAUUUUGCCUAUCAUGAAUGGUUUCAUCUUUACAGCAACCCUGCUGAGUUUACCUUAAAGUAAGUAGUUUCCUUGUUUUGUAUUCUUUGUUUAUUGUUUAAAAGCUAGACGUGUGUGUGUGUGUAUAUAUAUAUAUAUACACACACACACACACACACAUAAUAUAUAUACACACAUCAUUUUUUGGCAUAUGCUAAGAGUGGAUUAAUUAACUUAUGUGUACACACUUCAAAAUUGGGUAUGAUAUUUGUAAAAGGGUGAUAUAUUUUAUAAAAAUAUAGAUAUAAAGUAUUUUUAAGAACUCUUCAUAAAAGAGCUCAGUUUGUCAAUUAUGCUCAUUCAGCAGCACAUAUACUAAAAUUGGAGUGAUACAAAGAUUAGCAUGGCCCCUGAGCAAGGAUGACACGCAAAUUCGUGAAGCUAUCCAUAUUAAAAAAAAAUUAAUGCACUCGACUGGGCUUAGUAAGAGUUGGGUGAGCCUUCCAUAAAACAGUUACUAUUUGUUGAAUUUCUUUUUCCUCAAAAUGUUAACUUAGAGUUGAAAUGCAAAAGAAGAGAUUUGAUACAGCAUUUUGACAUUUGACAUUUUAAAGUAAUUUCAUUAGAUCAUCAAGCUCUGAAUUAUUGAAGAUUGUUCUACUGUAAACAGUUCUUUCCAUUAUCUUUCUUUGAAUUAGAAACAAGUUGCUUGCCAUCUGCCUGCAAAAAGAUAAAUGUAUUAUGCGCUAAAAUAUACAAAGAUUUUGGCAUUAUGUCUUCUCUGCUUUUUAUUAAUGAAUGCUUUUGUUUAGUCUUACAUCAGACCGAAUAGAACAGAUUUGUGUUUGGAAUAGUUUAAAGCCAGGAACAAAAUUCUCUGUAACCGCGUUGACAAAAAUUCGAAUCUCACCCGGGAAGAGUCAUUUUCUUUUUUUUUUUUUUAAGAUUAUUUAUUUAUUUAGGGGCACCUGGGUGGCUCAGUUGGUUAAGCGACUGCCUUCGGCUCAGGUCAUGAUCCUGGAGUCCCGCAUCGGGCUCCCUGCUCGGCAGGGAGUCUGCUUCUCCCUGACCCUCCUCCCUCUCAUGCUCUCUGUCUCUCAUUGUCUCUCUCGCAAAUAAAUAAAUAAAAUCUUAAAAAAAAAAAAAUUAAAAAAAAAAAGAUUAUUUAUUUAUUUAUUUGACAGAGAGAGACAGCGAGAGAGGGAACACAAGCAGGGGGAGUGGGAGAGGGAGAAGCAGGCUUCCCGCUGAGCAGGGAGCCCGAUGCGGAGCUCGAUCCCAGGACCCUGGGAUCAUGACCUGAGCCGAAGGCAGACGCCUAACGACUGAGCCACCCAGGCGCCCUGGAAGAGUCAUUUUCAAUCUUAUUUCUACCCCAGCACACCCAAGGAAGGAAGUAGACUCCCAGAGUGGCUCCCAAAGACAGUGAUUCCAGUCAUGUGGAGACAGUUUUGCUGCCUGCUCUAUCUCCAGUGUUGGUGCAUCCAAAGUGCCCAAGAACCUACUCUUGAUUAAUUGGCUGGUUCUCAGUGGAGGGUGAGGAAGAGGUGUUUGACAAGGCCCACAAGGGAUUCUGUAUUAUUUAGUCCUCACCCUUCAGCAUUACCCACCCCAUGAGGCAAUUCAUAAUUAAAACAUUUCAGUAUAAACCAAGUCUAGUAUUAGCCUUCUCAAAAGUGCUUCUAUGUGCUGCCCGAAGAGAUUGUCGCUUUCGAAGUUCUUCUAGCAAACCCGGGUAAAUAUGUGCUGAGGUAUUGUCCUUAUUCUUACAGUGUAAAGAUUGCAUGAAUUAGAAGUCAAAAUGCAGAAACAUUCUGUGACAGUGUGGAGAAAAAGUAUGUCUCAAGGUCAAGGUAACCACUGUUGCCUUUUCAGGAGUCAGUCAGAAUGAUGGCUGGCUGCCCAGAGACAGGGAGCCAAUUCUGUGGUGUGGUUGCCAUGUUCCAGGAUCUGCCUGGCAUUAAAGGCUGGAAGCCCAAUUUUAUUAGUAUACCUAGAGGGAUUGAGAGUCCAGGGAUGACCGACUCAUGCCAGCCUCAUAAGAAACCGAGGUUUGAACCAAAAUGUUGAUUUAGUCUUUUCCAAUAAAAGCUGUACUUUUCGAGUGUGCUCAGAUCUGCCAACCAAGGCAUUGCCUUCCCUGCGUGCUUAUCUGUGGGAGAGCCGGAUUAUAGUGGGACCGUGGCACCGUGCGUGUGGGACCCAUGCGGGGAGCAGGCUGAUGAUCUUAAUGUCUGAUGGCCUCCAGCCCUGUGCUCAGUGCACCCGUUUUGACUGUAGGGGAGGAAGUUCUGUUUGUCACACAGACUCCCUCACCUGUGACAGGGUCUGAGCCACACUGCCAAGUGGGGUCUUUUCCAGAGUUUGCUUUUGUAAAGAUGAAAUAUCGGCAUUUUGUAGAAGUAAGUUCGAUUGAUUACACUGUGCUCUGUUAGUUGCUGUCACAGCUCUGUCCCUUAGAUUUGAAACACUCCUCGUCUCUCGGGGCUUUGCUGUCGGCAGCUCAUCCUCAACACUUACGCUGUGAUUUUCCCAGCUUCUCUCUUAGAGUUGUCCCUUCAUUUGAAGGAACAGGGGCUAACACGUUUUCUGUCCCACGUCCUACUUAGGCAUACUUUUGUGUCUCUUCAUUCAACGGAGAUCCCGGACUGAAAACUAACCUCCGACAGAUAACUUUUUGGCAUAUCAUUUAACAGUGGCAUUUGAAAAAUGUGCAACUGGUAUAUAAGUGAAGUACUUUAGAGUUCUCUAGUAUUUUUCUUACCUCCGUGGUUAACAAGUACUAAAUUCUAAAUUCUGUACUUUGCUGUUUUAGAAUUUCCAUGGAUGAUUUUCUUUUGAGUAUCUAAAAAAUAACAUGUAUCUAUUUAAGGGGGAAAUGUCCUACUCUUACCAACUCAGUUUUUCUUUAAGAAACCGCUAUUCUAAUUCUGAAAGGGAGUAUAUGCUGUAUCUGAAAAACAUAGAGAAGUGAAAUAUCAAAGAAGGAGGUCAGAAACAAUAAAAUACAGUAAAUAAACAAUAUUUAUACAUUUAGCCACUUGCAAAAUAGGGUUAUAUCUCAGGUUAUUCUGUAAGGAUGGUUAGAAAGACUGAGAAGAGACCGUGAACUAUCAGGUGUAUUAUCCUUUUAGCGUGUCAGAUCAGGUCAGUAAAAACGUGACCUCAUAGAGCAACUUGUUACCUGCUCAUUUCUCUGUUAGUUAAAGGGGGCUGUGUAGCCAGUUUCGCUUUUUGGUUUUACUUUUAACAAAGAAAUAGAAGCUUAAGAGGGCAGUGAUUAAAUAUCUACAUGUCUGUAACCUUUUAGAAGUUGUAUAAGUAUUGUCUGUUCCCGGGGUCAUAUUUUUCAAAACUAUUGUUCAUUACCUAAAAGAAUGAAAAUAUUUUAAGUGAUAUCCUAUUAACAGCCAGGAAACACUUGUCCUGACAUUAGUAGAUUCGUGUUUAGCAGGCCAGUGCUGAGCUCUAACCUUUGUAUAUACUACUUCCAUAUGCAUAAUGUAAAAAUCUGUAAAAUUCUGACCCAAGAGAAACUGGUUACAUUAAAAUAUAUGGGUAGUUGUGCUUAGAGAAUUGGACAGAAUCACGGAUGGGUUUAUUGGUGUGUCAAGAUUGAGACUUGGAAGAAACUGAAAGAUCAAAUGUGUGCUAUGGCGCAGGUUAGUUAUCUUUUAUUGUUUUCAUAGUGCUCUGAAUCCAAAUUGGGGCAGGGCUUACCUCGGAUGUGAUUUAGGAUAUUGAAGUUGUUUGUUUCAGGAAGUUCUCUUUCUGUAGUUCCUUGGAAAUUUUUCAAGAUGUUGGAAGAGUAAAACAUGUUGUUAUGUUAAAACAUUUUGUGACCUAGUUCUGGCCUAAGUAUAGUUUUGUACAGGCAAAUACACAGGGGAUUUAGGCUUUUACUCUAAUAGCUAAAUGAACUCAAAUAUAUACUGAAUGUAAAUUGCUUUGAAGGCGAUGGAUCACAAGUUAAUAGAUUCUGGACCUUGUUUUUCCUUUCAUGAGCAAGACAUUCCUUGGAGUUAAGGGGAGAUUUAUAUUAAAGAGUAGCAAAUUGUUUCCCUCUUUUGGAAAUAAGCAAAAUCACCCUCUGAUGAUAAAAUAUUUCUUUAGCCUGUCCAGAUAGUUACUGAGGAAAGAAGCAGGAGGGGGGAAAUGAGGAUAACUUAUUUAGUAGCUUACUGUUUAGGAAAUGAAAUAUAUUUAAUAAAAGUGCAAUUGCCUUAUAAUACCAUGUGACUCAAAAAUAAUGAGACAAAGAAAAAAAUGAAAGACACCAUACUAGAACUUACAUGACCAAAUAAAUCUUGUCCCACAGGAGGUAGUCCAGUUUUUCUAGCUCUGUUCUAAUUGAACAAAACAUUUUCAGACUCUUUUGGAAUUGUCUUCAGAACUGUUUUAUGAGCCAAACCCCAAAAUCAACAUCUUUACUUUAUUAUCACACCUCUUUUUGGACCCAAAAGAAUAUUACUCAGCCUGAUCCCCCACUUAAUUUAUCAGACUUGGCUCAGGCUAUUUCCAAAAAUACAGUGUGCUCUUUUAUAGGACAAUCGAAUAUUUUUAUUCAUUUGUUUAUUCAUUCAGUGAUGGAGGCUCAGCGCCUCCAGUGAGUCAGGUAUGUUGUGGUGACACAUAGGAGUCUGGGUCUGGAAGUGGGAGGGGAGAAGGGAGACAAGUGAGGAUCACAGAAGAUGCUCACCCCUCAGUAGCCUUUGCAGAUGAGCAGGAGGUUACCAGAUGGACAGAGGAGAGCUUUGUAGAUGGAGGUAUCAGGCACAGAGCAAAAAUCACGCACAUUUCAGGAACUGCAAGUAUUUCAGGAUGGGUAGAAUCUAGUUAAAAGAUGAGAAUGAGGGGCGCCUGGGUGGCUCAGUCGGUUAAGCAUCUGCCUUCAGCUCAGGUCAUGAUCCCCGGGUCCUGGGAUCGAACCCACGGUUGGGCUUCCUGCUCAGUGGGGUGUCUGCUUUUCCCUCUCCCUCGGCCCCUCUCAUGUGCUUUCUCUCUCUUGCUCUGCUCUUUUUCUCAGAGGAAUAAAAUUUUUUUUUAAAUGAUGAGAAUGGAUUGGUAAUUGGGGCGAGAUCGUGAAGGCCUUAGUAAGCCAUGGGAUGGAGGAUACAGUGGUUAAGAGUGAGGGUUCUCCUGCCUGAUUAUCUGAGUUCAAAUUCUGGCUCCUUCAUUUAUAAGCUUUAUGACACUGGGCCAUCUCUGAAUCUUCCAGCCUUAGUUCUUUUCAUCUGUAAAAGAGAUGAUACCUACUUUAUAGGGUUAAGAGGUUUAAGUACGUAGACACAGAUUAAGUUCUUUUAGAAAUUUAUUAUUUAUUUAAUUUUUUUUCAGAUUAAGUUCUUAGUACCAUGCCUGGCAUAUAGUAACCACUCAAUAAAUGUUAGGUUUUUAUACUGUUCCUUUUUCCUGUGGGCAAGAAACAAUAAUGGAAGUAUUUUAAACAGCAGAAUAUACUUUUUUGCUUUGUGUAGCAUUUGCCUACUCACUUCUUGAGAUAGUCUCUUCCCUUGUUUUUUUUCUUUUUCAAAUAGCUUUUUGACAAGUAAUUGAUAUGCCAUACAGUUUACCCAAUUGAAGUGGGUGAUUCGUUGAUUUUAGUAUAUUCACAGGUUGUGCUAACCCAUCACCAUAAUCUAAUUUUAGAACAUUUUCAUUCCCCCUAAAAGAAGCCUCAUCCCCAUUAGCAGUCAAUCCCCAUUUCUUCUAUCCCCCUGCUACCGCUCAUCCUAGGCAACCUCUAAUUUACUUUCUGUUCUUAUAUUUGCCUACUCUAGCCAUUUCAUAUGAAUGGAAUCAUUCAAUAUGUAGUCUUUUAUGACUGGCUUCUUUGACUUAGCAUAAGGUUUUCAAGAGUUAUCCACAUUGUAGCAUGUAUCAGUCCUUUUUGGUGACUGAAUGCUAUUCCACUGUAUGUAUAUUACACAUUUUAUUUAUUCCUUCAACCUCUGAUGGACAUUUGGGUUGUUUCCAUUUGUUGGCUAUUAUGAAUAAUGGAGCUGUGAACAUUCCUAUACUAGUUGUUGGGUGGACAUAUGUUUUCAUUUCUCUUAGGCAUAUAUUGAGGAGUAGAAUUGCUAGAUCAUAAGUUUGAGGAACUGCCAAACUCUUGCAGAGUGGCUGUACCUAAUUACAUCACUAAUGUAGCACUAUAUGAGGGUUCCACUUUCUCUACAUCUUUGCCAAUAUUUUUAUUAUCUUUUUAAUUUUAGCAAUCUUGGUAUAUAUGGUUUUGCUUUGCAUUUCUUAGUGACUAAUGAUGUGUGAACAUCUUCUCCUGUGCUUUUUGGCCCUUAUUCUAUCUUUAGAGAAAUGUCUAUUCAAAUCCUUUGCCCAUUUUUAUUUUACUUUAUUUUCACGUUUAUUGAGGUAUAUUUCACAACCUUGGCCCAUUUUUAAGUUGGGUUAUUUGUCUUUUGAUUAUUGAGUAGCAAGAGUUUUUAAUAUAUUCUGGUUGCAUGUCCCUUACCAGAUAGGUGAUUUGCAAAUAGUGUGUCCCAUUCUUUGGGCUGUCUUUUCAUUUUCUUGAUGAUGUCCUUUAUAGCACAGAUGGCUCUAAUUUUGAUGAAUCCAAUUUACCUAUUCUGUCUUCUGUUGUUUGUGCCUUUGGUGUCGUAUCUAAGAUAUCAUUGCCUAACUCAGGGUCAUGGAGCUUUACUCCUAUGUUGUUUUCCAAGAGUUUUAUAGUUUUUAGCUCUCACAAUUAGGUUUGUGAUCCAUUUUGAGUUCAUUUUUAUGUAUGUUGUGAGGUGUAGGGGUCCAACUUCAGUAUUUUGCGUGUGAAUAUCCAGUUAUCCUGGCAUGAAUCGUUGAAAAGUGUAUCCUUUCCCCAACUUUUUGGCACACUUGUUGAAAAUCAGUUGAGCAUAAACAUGAGAGUUAAUUUCUGGACUCUUCAUUCUAUUCCAUUGCUCUGUACGUGUAUCUUUAUGGUAGUACCAUACUGUCUUGAGGAUAGUAGCAUAGAGUAAGUUUUAAAAUUGAGAAGUCCUCCAACUUUUUCUUUUUCAAGAUUAUUUUGGCUAGGGAGCACCUGGGUGGCUCAGUCAUUAGGCAUCUGCCUUCCGCUCAGGUCAUGAUCCCGGGGUCCUGGGAUCGAGCCCCACAUCGGGCUCCCUGCUCAGCGGGAAGCCUGCUUCUCCCUCUCCCACUCCCCCUGCUUCUCCCUCUCCCACUUCCCUCUCUCGUUGUCUCUCUCUCUGCAAAGUAAAUAAAUAAAAUCUUGAAAAUAAAAAAAAAUUAAAAAAAUUUUUAAAGUAUAUAACUUUUGAUUUUUGCAGUGUCACUUAGAGAAAUUUAUCAUAAGGUAACGAGACAAUGUUACAAGAAUAGGGGAAUGGUUUAAUAAGCUACAUAAAUUUAGUGCAAUUUAAAAUGGUUUUAUUAUAUAUAAACAUGCAUAUAUAGAGACUUGUGAAAGCGUUUGGUACAUGGUGAAAUUUUUUAAUUGCAAAACAUUUAUGUAAAGUGUGAUUCUCUUUUUGUUGAACAACAGUAGAAAAUAAGCUCCAAGGGAGCAGGGAUCUUGUCUCAUUGACAUUGAUAUCCCCAGAAGAGAGUAGGAGCUCAGUAAAUAUUUGUUGGUUGCAUUGGUCUCUCUCUUUACUGCUUCUCUUGCCUUAGUCUAUCUCUGUUUCUUACCUGAGCUUUUGCAGACCCUACCAACUUGUUUUCUUCGCCUCCAGUUUUAUCCCCUACAGUCCAACUUCUGUUCUACAGUCAGAGUGGUAUUUCCAAGUGGUACAUCUGGCCAUGACAUUGCCUACUGAAACAUCCUUUGGUUCUUCCCCAGUGCUCCUAAGAUAAUUUCCAGACUUCCUAGCCUGGAUUACCAACCCCUUCGUAAUUUCACUUCUGUGUACUUUUCCAGCUCUUCUCUUGCCAUUUUCCAAGAUAAUCACCAAGUCAUGCCAAACUAUCCACAAUUCCCCAAAUAUGAAUUUUCCUGCGUACCUACAUACCUUUGGACAUACUGUUCCUUCUCCUCAGACCAUGCCAAACUUCCCGUGUUUAUCUGGCAAAUUCCAGAUCAUCCUUUGAGAUUCUGAGCCCCAGCUACAUCCCCUCUAGGCACAUAGGAGUGCCUCUUCUGCAGGGCUUCCAUAACUGCAGAACUCUUUUGUAACCCCUAAUAUACAGGAGACAGACGUCUCUUUAGGGCAAGAGAGUUAGUGAGGGCAGGGACUAUAUAGUCUUCUGCCUUCAGCUCAUCAUCUAACUGCUGAACGGACUUCUGCUCUAUCUCCAUCUCAGGGCUUCCCAGUUUUGGUCUGAGGCCUGGUACCAAUUUUCUCUCAUCUGUGAUGAAAUUAGAAAAAUAAGAGCCCUGCGGUGAAUUUUUCAGAAAGCUAAAUCUGUUUACAUUUUGGGUGUUAAAAUGUGCUUUUUCUAAUGAAAUGAUGUUGAUAGUAGAUGGUAGGGUAUAUUUAUGUCUUUAGUUGACAACAUUCUGUCAGAGCCCAAAAUUUGCUGGAAAUUUUACAGUUCCCUGAAAACCAAAGGUCUGGGAACAGUGCUGUAUCUCAUGGGGUGGCACCAAGUCCCCAAAGUCAAAAGCCUAUGAGUCAUCCUUGGCUUCUCCUCCUUCCUCAUCCCUCCACCCCCGCCACAUUCAGACACUUAGCAAGUCCUGCCAAUUCAACCUCCUAAAUAUUUCUGGAAUCUGUACUCUCCUCUCCAUCCUUGCUGCCAAUUCCUUAGGACAGGCCCUCUUUAUUUUCCCUGUACAACUGCAACAGUCUCCUGACUGGUCUUCUUGCCACUGUUCCCCUCUUACCCAUGCCCGUCAGAACGAGCUAUUUAAAAAUUAGAAAUGGAUAAAAGUUCCUUAUGGCAUACACGGUUUUUCUCUAGUGGGAUUUCUUGCUUUCCUUUGUUCACACCGUCUCCUGGUUUUGAGUGCCCUUUCUUUUCCACUUUCUUGGGUAACUCCUAUGUAAGUUCAGUUGUCACUUCCUCUACGAACCCUUUCUUACAAGUCUGAGUUAGGUGCCCCCUUGCCUAUAUCCCUACCUCAGCAUUUCCAGAUUAGUUGGUAGUUCAUCUUUUCAUGUCUGCCUGCCCACUAGACUCCGAACAACUUAAGAAAAUGUCUUUUAUCCUUUGAUCUUUCUAUCCCUAGCACCCAGUACAAUGCUAGAAAAUAACAAAUAUUGAGUAAAUGUUUGUUGGCUGAAUGCAUUUGUUUGGUAUUAUGAUCAGGUGUACACUGUGGAAGAUUUAUGGACCAGAUGGGGCUGAGUACAGGAAGUCUGCAUGAGGCAGGGAACAGGGUAAAGGCCCUCUAUAGAAGUUUAGACAAGAGUGAUGAGUACCUGAACUCAGGAAAUAGCAGUGGAUAGAGAAACAUUUAGGUGGUGGAAUUGGUGCUUGAUUAGAUGUAUGGGGUCAUGGAAGAACCUAGGAUUACUUGAAGGUUUCUGGGCUUAGAAAAUUGGUUGGUUGGUGGUGUGGUUCACUGAAGUGUCUGUUCUAGACACUUUGAAUUGAAAUGUUUAGAAUAUUGGUUAAAGUUGUCCAAGCGGUGAGUGGGUAUAGCGUUUGGGGAGAGAACUGUCUUGGAGAGACAGGUUGGGGAUUCUGCAGCCUUUAGGUACUAAAUGAAGCCUUGGCCGCAAGGGAGAUAAUGAUUAGUUGUUGUUGGCUGUGUCGUAGAGGUGGUGGUGCAUUGGGUGGGAAGAGAAUGGGAUCAUGAGAUUCUAGAUGUUGGAGGUCGAGAUCAAGGAGAAAGAAGCAUGUGAAGGUUCUGAUUGAAGUCCUGGUUGUGUGUGUUGCAGGUCUGUGAUCUGGGCAAAUUACUGUUUGCCUCCGCUUCUCCAUCUGUAAAAUGAGAAUAGUAACGCCUAGUUAACUGGGAUAUUAAAAGAAUUCAAUGAGUUUGCAUAUGAGAGGUGUCGAGUAUAGCCCUAGGCUCACUCUAGGGGCUCAUAAAUGGUAGAGAGAAGAUUCAAGAAAAUAUUUCUCAGGACCUGAAGAUGGUUUCAAAACAAAGAAUUUUUCUUAGUGAUUACAUUGGAGAUUAUAGUUAACAUCUUAAACUUAAAACAUUUUAGUUUUAAACAAUACAACUUAGCUUCUAUGGUGUAUAAAAACCUUUUUUCCUAUACAGCUCCGUCCAUCCCCUUUUAUGCUAUUAUUGUCACACAUUUCAUCUUUACACAUUGUAGGACCAUUACCAUAGAUUGGUACUUACCAUCAUAUGCAUUUGUCUUUUUAAUCGUAUUAGGAAAAAAAGAGUUCCAAAACCAAACUACAAUAAUACUGGCUUUUUAAAUUUUUACCUAUGUAGUUAGUUACCUUUGUCAAUGUUCUUUCUUUCUUCACGUGGCUUUGAGUUACUCUCUCCUGUCCUUUCAUUUCAAUCUGAAGACCUCCCUGUAGCAUUUCUUUUUUUUUUUCUUAUGUUAUGUUCAUCACCAUACAUCAUCAGUUUUUGAUGUGGUGUUCCAUGAUUCAUUGUUUGCAUAUAACACCCAGUGCUCCAUGCAGAAUGUGCCCUCCUCAAUACCCACCACCAGGCUAACCCAUCCCCCCACCCCCCUCCCCUCUAGAACCCUCAGUUUGUUUUUCAGAGUCCAUCGUCUCUCAUGGUUCAUCUCCCUGUAGCACUUCUUCGAGGGCGGGUCUCCUGGCAACAGACUCCCUCAGCUUUUGUUUAUCGGAGCACGUCUUAAUUUCGCCUUCGUUUUUUUUGAAGGGUAGUUUCUCUGGAUAUAGAAUUCUUGGUUAACGGUUUUUCUCUCAGCACUUUAAAUGUGUCAUCCACUGCCUUCUGUCUUCCGUGGUUCUUUUUUCUUUCCCUCUAAUUUAUUUAUUAAUUUGGCCGGGGGGGGGGGUUGAAGGGGGGUGUGGAGAGCAAGAGUGCACAAGCAGGGGAAGCAGCAGGCAGAGGGAGAAGCAGGCUCCCUGCUGAGCAGGGAGCCCGCCGCGGGGCUCGAUCCCAGGACCCCAGGAUCAUGACCUGAGCCGAAGGCAGACGCUUAACUGACUGAGCCUCCCAGGCGCCCCUAUCUUCUAUGGUUCUGAUGAGGUGUUGGCUAUUAAACAACGUUAGGUGGUGAGUAGCUUAUACUUGCUGCUUUCCAGAUUCUUUUUUUGCUUUUUGACAGUUUGAUUUAUAAUGUGUCUCAGUGUGGAUCUCCUGGCCUCACGUUAAUGUGCCUAGAAAGCACUCAAAUAAAGGAUUGUAAUAAUGCAGCCAAAUUAAACGAUUGUAGUUUUGUAAUAACAAUGACUGCGAAUUAUCCAUCGGUAGAAGACAAUCAGUAUAUUGCGCUUAAAAAGUCAAGAAAAUGUUCAAUGCAUGCUACAGAGAAUUCCAUUAAAAACUUUAAUUUUUUGGGUGCCUGGGUGGCUCAGUUGGUUAAGUGACUGCCUUCGGCUCAGGUCAUGAUCCUGGAGUCCCGGGAUCGAAUCCCGCAUCAGGCUCCCUGCUCGGCAGGGAGUCUGCUUCUCCCUCUGACCCUCCUCCCUCUUGUGCUCUCUCUCAUUCUCUCUCUCGCAAAAAAAACAAAAAAAAACAAAAAAAAAACUUUAAUUUUUAAAAAUUGUUUGAGGGCUUACAAUGGGUAAGAAUCAGAUAUCAAAAUUCUCACUUUCAUGGAUAAUUGCCUGAUAGAGUCCCAGUAUGAGUUGUUCCUAUGGUUCUUUGCAAAAGAAACAUUCUUCCUUGGGGGACAUAUAGUUGGAGCUACAUUUACAAAUUCUUCUCCUUUAGUUUUUCAUUGCUCUCAAUGCCAUGAAAUAUUUACCUUAUUAUAUGAAAUAUUCCUAGAACAAAGAUUAAACUCUAAAAUAAAAUUUGUAUGGAGGCAUACUAAAUCAUAACUUAAUAUUACACAUUUUUACAUCUGAACAAAACAACCUAAUUCCAGAUGCCUAAGUUUGGCAGUUGAUAGAGCUUAUCAGUUCUUUUUUAACUUUUCCAACUAUGUUCUAUUUUCUUAUCUUUUAAUAUGGUUUCCUGAUGGUGUCCUUAAAAUAUAUUUAUAGAUUUUUUUCAGUUCUUUUUUUUAAAAUAUUUUAUUUAUUUAUUUGAGAUAGAGUGAGAGAGAGAGAGAUUGAGAAAACACAAGCCAAGGGGAGGGGCAGAGGGAGAGGGAGAAGAAGGCUCCCGACUGGGCAGGGAGUCCGAUGGGGGGCUCAAUCCCAGGACCCUGGGAUCAUGACCUGAGCCAAAGGCAGACACUUCACCGACUGAGCCACCUAGGUGCCCCUUUUUUUUUCAGUUCUUAACACAGUAGUUGUUCCUGGAAAUUUUGCUUGAAUAGAUCUAAUUUUAAAAUGUAAGAUGUUAGAGGCGCCUGGGUGGCUCAGGUGGUUGGGGAGCCAACUCUUGAUUGUGGCACAGGUCAUGAUCUCAGGGUCCUGGGAUCAAGCCCCGCAUCCUCUCUCUGCUCAGUGGGGAGUCUCUUUGAGGAUUCUCUCUCCCCCCUUCUCCCUCUAGCUCUCUAAUAAAUAAAUACGUCUUAAAAAAAUAAAAUAGAAUGUAAGAUGUUAGAUGUUAAUUUUUAUGACUUUUAAAAAAUGCUUUUAUCAUUUUGGUUGCUUAUACCUUGUUAUAUUAGAAAGGGCGCUGAAUUCUUAGCCAUGAGACCCAGUUUUCUUACUCCUUCAGUUGCUUUGCCCAUCUGCAUUCUCUUGGCCUAUGCUUCUUUAUCUGUAAAACGAUUGUACAGAACCAGAUAAUCUCUGAAGUGCCCCAUACUUUCAAAAUUCCAUAAUUCUACCAUGCAGGAUUUUUCUCUGGCUUGUCUGAUAAAAACCUUAGAGCAGUUUAAAGAAUUUGUGAGCUGUCACUGUUUCUCUUUUAUUUCAUGUUAAUUCUGUUACUUUUGACCUAACAAUUAGCCAAGCAUCAGAAAAGUAGUUUUAUUUUUCCUACAUGCUUUUUUAUGGGGUUGCUCCAUAUGGGAGAAAGAUUAAAAUCUCAUCCCUUCAGUGAGACAAUAAUGCAUACAUAGUAUUUUUUUUCUCCUAGAACCAAUUUAAGAAGUUAAGUUGUUAACAUUUAAUUUUAAAAACUUGCCAUUUCAGGAUUGAGGAUCAGGAUUUUCUCAGUAACUCAGAGGAGCAGAGUGAAGAAAAGUAUAUGAGUGAUGGAAGAAAGAAGACUUAAAUGAGAAAAGAAGCUUUUAUAACUCUUGUUUUUAAAAUGGCGAUUUUUUUAUUAUUAAAAAUUGAUAUGCUCUCAUUGUAGAAAGUCUAGAUAGGCAAAUAACAGGAAACACAGCUCAGUAAUCUCAUCACUGAGAGAUAACCACUGUUAGCAUCUUGAUUUAUCUUUCUACCAUUUUGUUUAUAUAUGCAGAAUCAAACUGUACAUAUUUUUCUGAAACGUUCAUUUUCUUUUAAUAAUAGAUUAUGAACACCUUUCCAUGUUCAGUAAAUAUGAAUCUGAAUCAUCUUUUUAAAGGCCACAUAAUCUGUGUAUCUAUUUAUGUAUCUACCUACCUAUCUUGCCAGAUUACUCUCCAGAAGGUUUUUGUUUGGUUGGUUGGUUGGUGGGUUUUUUUGUUGUUGUUUUUACCGAUUUGUACUCCCACAGUGAUGUGGGUCCAUUUCACAAACCCUCACAGACGCUAUGCCAUUUUACCAUUUAAAAAUUCCUUACCCAGUUUGAAGGGCUUAAAUAGUAUAUUGCUGAUGUUUUCAUUUGUUUCAUUAAGUUAUUACUAUAGUUUUAACAUUUUCUCAUAUGUUGAUAGUCAUUUAUGUUUCCUUAAAAGGAACUAACUUCAAUGGUUGUUUUAUUAGAUAAGAACCUAAUCCUAAGUACCUGACUGAAUUAGUGCUAGGCUAAAUUUACUCACCUCAGAAGGAUGUGAUUAUGAAAGAUUUUUGGCUUACGGUGUAGGUAAAGUUUGGUUAGUUUUCUUCUAAGACCCAGCAGACAGCCUUCAGCACAGACAGCUGCCUCGUUUUGGCUGAUUCGUCGUUUUUCCUCAAGAGAGGCCCAAAGCUGGAGAACGGGGCUUUUACAGGUCAGAAAUGGAGACAGAACUGAAUGUUGAAAGUUUUCCAGAAUCCAGCACUCCUUCUGACUCAAGCCAGAACUGUUGACUUUACUUUCAAAAAUACCAUUUAACUCUUGUAUUUUUGAGAUGAGACUAUCUUUUUCUACCUCUAUUGGGUGAACUAAAGUGGGUUAUUUUUCUAACUAGUUAAGGGAAGGAUGUAAGAGGGCCUGGAGGAUCAAGUCUUUAACUUUAUUUUUCCUGUGAAUUUUCUGAACAUUUAUUGUUUUCAGUCCAGCCUGGAAAGCAUAUACUGCUAUAUCCAAGUUUACCAAAGGCAUUUGGGGAUCCUGUCAGCCAGUGUGUCUCCUCUGCCAUAGAGAGGUCUCUGACCCAAAUGCUGCAGAGGUAGGAUUGCACAAUGGUUAGGAAAUCCGACUCUGGAACCAGACAGCCUGACUUCAGAUCCUAUCUCCACCACUUACCCUCCUGUGCUUUAGGCAAAGUACUAAACCUCUCUCUGGCUCUUUCUUUCCUCCUUUUGUUUCUAAACAGCAUUAUUGAGAUACACUUUACAUACCAUCAAAUUUAUCUGUGUAAACAGUUCAGUGGUUUUUGGUCUAUUUACUGAGCUGCCCAACCAUCACCAUGAUCUAAUUUUAGACCAUUUUAUCACCCUGAAAAUAUCCCGGUACCCAUUAAUGGUCAUAUUCUAUUCCUCUCCCUGCCCCAGCACCUCCAGCCCUAGGCAACGACUAAUCCACUUUCUGUCUCUAUGGACCUGCCUACUCUGGACCUUCCAUGUAAAAGAAAUCGUGCAAUAUAUGGCCUUUCCUUACUGGUUCUUUUCACUUGGUGUAAUCUUUUCAAGAUUUAUCUACGUCAUACCAUGUCUCUCUACUUCAUUCCCUUUUUUAAUCAAAUGAUACUCCGUUGUAUGGAUAUAGUGCAUUCUGUUUAUCCAUGCAUCCAUUGAUGAACACUUGGGUUGUGACUACUUUUUUAGCUAGUGUGAAUGAGGCUGCAGUGUUGUUUACGUACAUCUGUUUCUUUAUUCAUAAAGUGAGCACCAUCUCAUAGAGUUGUGAGGACUAAAAAAGUCCAAGUAUGUGGAAGUAGUGAGUGGAUAGGGAGCAAACAGUGUUAGUUAAUAAGUGCAACUUAGGAGUGUGUGUCCUCACUUAACGUCAAUUACAAGAUUUGACUUACUCAGGGUGCCAUGCUUUCUUUCCUAACGACCUCUCCGAAGAUCCUCUCUUUUCCUUUGCUGCUGACUUUUCCCUGAGUUACAAUUCUGAAAAGUUUAAUUCAUUCAGCAAAACGUUUAUUGAAUACCUGCUGUGUGUUAGAUGGUUACGCCAGGUGCAUGGAGAACUAAAAGAACAGGAUAAACGGAAGUAUGCAGAGGCAUUUCCAGUUUAAGGUUGUCUUUAGUUUGCUAAUCGGUAGCCUCUGACCUGCCAGUAGGGUUUAGGACUUAGAGCCCCUGAACCCCACCUUCACACCAGAUGCCACAGGUUUGGGGUCUCUUAAUCCUUUCACUCUUGUCAGGCCUUUGUUUUGACCAGCUUAUCUGUGUUUGUCAAGUGGCUGAUGGAAGCUGACUGUUGUGUAUAGUGAUUGAGUCUCGGUGGAGACCUCAACAGGUAAAAGAGUAGUUAGUAUCUCACUCCUGCGCUGUCCCUGGGGUUGCCGAAUGGUGUCUAUUCUAAUCCAUAUGGAAAAGUCCCUAAUUUUUUCAAUUUGCAGGUUUCUUCUUUUUUGUAGAGCUGACUUCACGUGCUUUCUGAACUAAUGCGUGUUGGAACUGGACUCAGCAAAAAUAUCGACUCAGCAUUGUCUAGCUACCUGUGUUUUUUAUCUCUUGACUUUGGGUGGGUAGUGAUUUGCAUGGUGACUUAGAAUACACUUGUUGAAUAUUUUGCCUCUGCCACCGUCCUCUGCCCUAUAAGAGAACAAAUACAUUUUUAUGAUUUCCUUAUUUGUUUGAGCUCUGAAGUAGUGUUUCCUUUUUCCCGUAAUAGCAUAGAGUUAGCAUAACGGAGUGAUGCUACUACCUCAUUCUUCUCUCUUUCAUUCAGACAAAAUGCAUUAGCAGUUUAAAGAACUGUUUGAUAACAGAAGAGUGCCUCUAGUGUUUGCUGGAGGACUAUGAAAGCAGUUUGAAUUCUGGGGGCGCCUGGGUAGCUCAGUGGGUUAAGCGUCUGCCUUCAGCUUGGGUCAUGAUCCCGGGGUCCUGGGAUCCAGUCCCGCAUCUGCUUCUCCCUCUCCCUCUACCUGCCUCUCUGCCUACUUGUGCUGUCUCUAUCUCUGUCAAAUAAGUAAAAUCUUUUAAAAAAAAAAGAAAAAGUUUGAAUUCUGUUGCUUAAUGUCCAUUUCAGGAAUUUGUCUUGAAUAUGAGCAGAGUAGUCUACAGGUACGCCAUAUUCCCAUUAGGACUUCCACAGAGCUUAUUUGGGGCCUCGCUAAUAGUAUACCAAUUUUGUACCAUAUGCCAUCAUACGGUAGCAGUGUGUUUCCAUAUAUAGGAGUUUUACUGUUUGCUCUGUUUUAAAUAUUUACUGUCGUGCGAGCCAUAUCUUGUAAACUUGCCCAAUUUGGGGGAUUCCCACUUAACUUGUAAAACAUUUUUUGGUUAAUGGAUGCAAAGAUAUUAUUAGCUCAUAGGUCCAGAUUGCCACCUCUAUAUAGAUAGAAGCUGAAACCAGAUUAGUAGAAACUCUAAAGAUGAACUAGAAGAAGAUGAACCACUUAAUUUUCUUAUGAACACUCUCUUUAAGGCUAUAAAGAAUCAAGUGAUUUAGUAAAUAAAGGAUGUUGACUUUGCAUUCCCUUGUCAGAUGAUGGUAGCCUUAAACUUUAGCAGCACGAACAGAUUUCCCUGCUUUAGAGUUGCAAUCUGACAUUUCACUUGACCCUUGGAUAACACAGGUUCGAAUGCAUGCAUCCACGUAUAUGCAGAUUUUUCCCUAUUAAUACAGUACUGUAACUGUAUUUUCUCUUUCCUUACUAUUUUCCUAAUAACAUUUUCUUUGGUCUACUUUAUUAUUUUUUUAAAUGUGGAACAUUUCACUAAUUUGCGUGUCAUCCUUGCAUGGGGGCCAAUUUUAGUAUAUGUGCUGCGGAAGCGAACACCAGCUCUAUUUUAACAAUUCAGUAUGUAGUACAUAUAACACACAAAAUACGUGUUAAUCGACUGUGUUCUCAGUAAUGCCUCCAGUCAACAGUAGCCUAUUAGAAGUUAAGUUUUGGGGGAAUCAGAAGUUACACAUGGAUUUUUGACUGCAGGGGGGUCAGCACCCCUAAACUCUGCAUUGCCCAAGGGUCAGCUUCCCUGGGCAUUGUCCCCUUUUCAGCAGUAGGUAAUGAGGUUGCUUAAUUCAGGAUUCUAGGAGAACAUAUCUCCGAGCAUUGGGAUUCAGCCCUUAAAUUAAACUCUGUAUCCUUGUGUUAUUUUUAAAUACUUCUCCUUGCCUCCUCACUUCCUCUUACCCCACUGAGUCCCUUCCUGUUCUAGGUUACAUAUUCCUGUUUGCUGUGAACUCAUCUGUGUGUCUUCUUCUGCCUUUCUCCGCUUUUUCUCCACAAAACGUUUCUGCAGUCAGACCAGGAACCUCAAAUAGGACUCCUUGGGAGAGAUGAAUUCGUCUGCUCUGGGGCUGUCAAUUACUCUUGCCCAGGGGUCAUGCUCCUGGAGGGACCAUUUAAAGGGAAAUUGUCUCCCAGCAAGUCAGGUCUGGUGCAGUCACCUAGAGGAAACUACUACUAUUUAUAUGCUUGACCUUAAUUCAUUGUGUCUAAUAUAUAAGACAUAUUUGAGGUCAGAUAUUGCUGUUUCAGAAUCAUUUAACCAUUUCAAGAUAUGUAUAAAUGUCCUAGGAUUAUUUUUUGUGUGUGAGUAAUAAAAGCCCAGCCCAAACUGGGUAAGCACAAAAGUGACGUUACUGGCUGAUGUAACUAAUAAAUCCCAGGUUAUGUUGGCACAAGUGGGGCCGGUGCUUACCAGUGUCUCCAGAAUCUCUCGCCUGUAUCGUUUCUCUGCUCUGGCUCUCUUCCCCAUUGGCUGCAUUCCAUGGCGUGCUCACUAAAGUGGUGGCAAAGACAGCCAUCGGCAGCUGCAGGCUUCUCUGUUGCCGGUUUGGUAAUCCCAGAAUAAAGAGAGCGAUCUCUACUCUCCCAGAAGUUCUAGUAAAAGUCCUGGGACUGAGUCACAUGGUCCUGUCCAUCCCUAAAUCAGUCAGUGUUACUCAGUCCAGAGCAGGUUACAUGCUAUGCUGCGCUCAUGCCCCCAAAACCAUAUUGCCUGAGUAGGAGUGGUUCGUCAACAAAAUAUGAAGAUAUGGUUUAUAGAGGAGGUAAUAGGUGUUGGAAAGGCAGACAUCACACAUGUCUACUGAAUAUUAGGGUGUAGAAUGAAUGUACUUUGAUGUGAUAUGUAGUUUCAUGUUCUGUGUAUAGAAUUUAUUUGGAAUUAAUGCACAGCCAUACACCAUUACUUACAGUUUGAUAUAUCAGUCUUCUCUCCCCUAACUGGAUAGUAAAGCUCUUAAAGACCAUACCCAUCUUACAUCUUUUGGAAUCUCCAAGACUUAGUACCACUCCUGCACAUGGUAGGUACUCAUAAAUGUUUAUGGACGCUGCAGAAAUGGCAAGUUCCUUCUAGCAGCAUUUUCAUUAUUGUUGGUGGCAAAUACCUCUGGAGUUACACCAUUCAGUGUUGGUUUAGAACAAGUGCACACACAGUCCAUAUUUAAUGAGCAAAUGGAGAACACCCUGGCCAGUAUCCAGUAUGCGUGAACAUAACCUCGGGUACAUGCAAGCUACACGCCCAGAAUGUGCUUCGUGGACUAUAUAGAGAAAGAGAGAUAAAAAAGAAUUCUUCUCAAUUCCAAAGACUGGCCGUAGUUCAAAUAAAAUUUUAUUUAGCGCCCUUAGGCAGCCGUGCCAGACUUCUCUCAGCUCUUGAACUAUUUGAUGUCCCAAACAUUCAAGGGUAUGAAAAAAAAGUGACAGGAAAAAAAAUCCUCAUAGAACUUCCUGUGACAGGUCAAAGUUUAAUCACAGCAAAUAAUGCAGAUUUCCCUUUUCUUAUAACCACAACAGAAAGGCGGGGCUUGUGUUUACAAAGCAUGUUGUUUGGGAGACCUUUGUAAAUUGUAAUCUUUGGAAAUCCCAAACCUAUUGGAUGUAAUCCCAUCCAUUAGACAAAGGCAACUUGCCUAUGCAGUAGAUCCAGAAUAGCAAGUUAAAUGGAAAACAUGAACAGGAAGCAGUCAUUAAGAAUUACAAUGGGUAGGAUACAGAGUUAAUUCACGGAGAAAUUUUGUUAUGAGAUAAUGACAUCACUAGGACAGCUGGAAAGCUGAGGGCUGUGCUGGACCCUGUGCUUUGCUCUCUGCCCCGCAGCUGAGGGGUCAGGACUAUAGAGACAGGGAGAGAACUUUAUGGGAUAGUUAGCGGCUUGGCUGACUUAAUUGUGAAAUGGUAAUGACCUAUCUGGCUUUUUUGGAUUGCCUUUUGCAUAGCUAAACUGGAUUCAUAGACUUAGUGAAUGCUGAGAACCACUUUUCAUUUCCCCUUUCUGAACAUUCACUUGGAUCACAUUAAGCUAGGCUCUAAUGGAUACGUAUCGAAUGGUAGCUUUGAUUUCCUCCAAACGUCCUCUGAGAUAUUUUGUUCAUAUUCAACACAGUAUGAAUAUAUUUCUCUUAUGGAACUAUAGUCAUGCAAUCAUUGAAAUGGUGUUUUUGUCAGUUUACUGAAUAGCAAAAAAAAAAAAAAAAAAAAAAGUUUUAGAAAGUCUUAGGAUGUUGGUCAACACAAGGAAUCAUACAGUUGAAGUUAUUUUCCAGUGUUUAUUUUCAAAUGUUCAGACCUGUCUGGCUCUUUCGUUUUGCAAGUGUAGGGGUUAUAGGCAGCCUGGCCACAUUCCUCAUUGAUUUAUAUAAAUAUAUUACAGAUUGUUAACCUCCUGCCAAAUACCAGGGAUUUCAGUUCUUGUUUAGCUCAGUUGCUUUAUGUGAGACUUAUUUGUUAUAUUAAACAUCUAUGUUCUCUUUAUUGCCCACCACAUUGACUAUUAUUUAUUUGAUUUGGGGUAAUUCCAGAGGGAGUCAUUGUAGACAGAAAAGCAUCAUAAAUAUUAUGUUCUAAAAUUCCUCAGAUGAAUACAGGCCUUUCCUGCUAUUUGAAAGUAGAAUGUUCCUGGGAAACCUUUUGUAGGCUGAAAUGGUGUAAAGUGAAGAAGCAGUUACCAUUAAUUUAUGUGGAAAAUUUUUUGAGUGUUCCCAGACCCAAAAAGUAACCUCUCCUAGGCUUUUCUGAUACCUUAGGACACAUCUUGCUAACGGGUGCACAAAAUAAAUCGAGGUAAAGCACAGAUGCUCACCGAGAGCCUCCAAAGCUAAGGCGGCUUAAUGCCCAGAGGCUGAGUAUCAUUGUGAGGAGGAGCUUGGGGGUGCCCCCUUCACUGUUUGGGAUGCGUGCUGCCUCUGCAAAGGCUCACUACAAAACAAAUAUUGAGGGGCACCUGGGUGGCUCAGUCGUUAGCAUCUGCCUUCGGCUCGGGUCAUGAUCCCAGGGUCCUGGGAUCGAGUCCCACAUCGGGCUCCCUGCUCUGCGGGAAGCCUGCUCCUCCCUCUCCCACUCCCCCUGCUUGUGCUCCCUCUCUCGCUGUGUCUCUCUCUGUCAAAUAAAUAAAAUCUUAAAAAAAAAAAAAAAAAAACAAGUAUUGAAUGCUAUUUUCACUUUUCUCCCUUUUUCCUAAAAGCACAAAUCCUCUUUGAGAUUUCUUCAGUUAGUGAGAACAGCUGUACUAAUGUAGGACUUUUGUAAAAGGGCAGUGGCGUGAACUUUCGAAGACUGGGGAAUACCUGUAUUUAUAAUUGUUGACUCAAAAUGCAUUUCCUACACAUAAGAUAGUGUAGACUAUAUAAACUAGCAUAACUUUUUUUUUUCUUUACAGUGAUAAUGUUCACUAAACAAGACUGAAUUUUGUAUUUUAGCGUGGAGCAGCAUUUCCCAAAAUGUCUUCAGUGGAGUCCUGGCUCUGUAAGAUGUUGACCAUCGGCAUUGGAGCCAAAGAAGGUCCUUCCAGGACCUCUCCUUCCCUUCAUGUCACUUGUGAAUUUCUAAGGAGAAAGUAAUACGCUGCAUUUGCAGCAUCCUAAGUGGCCGGAAAGGCAGCCCCGCAGGCUGCCGGCUCCAGACACUGAUGACUUACAGCGAGGAGGCUGUAAGAGGGUUUGUUCGGAGGGGAGUGAUGGCUGCAGGGCACCGGAGGCAGUAGGGUGGGAGGCCCGCGGGAGUGGCAGGGAUCUGGGAGCACUUCCCCAGCGUUCAGGGCUGGGAGAGCGGCGGCCAGGGUCCCAGCCACGGCCGAGUCUGGGGAGGGAGCGGCCGCAGCAGUGGGCAGAGGAGCUGGAGUGGAAACCGGCCCGGGAGAGAAGCCGGUGGGCUGUGGGCGUCCUUCCCAUCAAGAAGCUGGGCCCGGCGGCCGUGGACUCCAACCCCUGCAGGCGCCUGAUGGCACUGAACCGAGUGGGCAUCGGAAGCGACUGCGAGGAGGAAAUCUGUACCUUUGCUGUAGCCAUAGUGGGGUCGGCGGAGUCGGUAGCGUGCCUGCUGACGUGGCCUUGCUACGUUGCUACUCUUUGACCACGACAAGGAGGAACUGGCACAUAUGAAUAGACCUUUCUUCCAGCCUAUCCUUCCAAUCAAGCAGGAUUAAGUAAAGUUCAAGCAGCAGAAUAUGCUUUGAGGAACAUUAACCCAGAUGCUCUUUAGGAAGUAUGUAACUGCAAUAUAACCACAGUAGAAGACUUUCAGCAUUUCAUGGAUGAGAGUAAGUAAUGGUGGAUGAGAAGAGGGAAAACCCCUUAACCUAGUUCUUAGCUGUGCGGACGGUUUUGAACCUCGGGUGACAAUAAACACAGCCUGUAAUGAACUUGGGCAAACGUGGCUGGCGUCUGGGGUCAGUGAAAAUGCAGUUUCAGGGCAUAUACAGCUCAUAAUUCCUGGAGGGUCUGCUUGUUUUGCACGUGCGCCACCAAAGUGCUGCAAAUACUGAUGAGAAGACUCCUAAAUGAGACGGUAUGUGUGCCCCCAGUCUUCCUACCACUGUCGGCAUGGUUGCUAGGAGCUUGGUACAAAAUGUGUAUAAAGUUUCUGUUAAACUUUGGUACUGUGAGUUUUUACCUUGGAUAUAAUGCAGUGCAGGAUUUUUUUCCUGCUGGGACCGUGAAGCCAAAUCCUCAGUGUGUUGACAGAAAUUGCAGGAAGCAGCAGGAAGACUACAAGGACAAGAGGUUGUUCAAGAAGAAGAAGAGGAGAUAAUAUGUGAAGAUAAGGGAUGGGGUAUUGAGUUGGUAUCUGAGGUUUCAGAGGAGGAACUGCAGAAUUCUUCAGGUCCAGUUCCUGACUUACCUGAAGGAAUGACCCUGCCAUAAACAAUUCCCGAAAAGCAAGAAGGUUCUAUACCUGAGGUGUAACUGUGGAAGAUUCUGGUGAAAGCUUGGAAGACAUCAUGGCCAAGAUGAAGAAUAUGUAGAUAAUAGACUGACCUAUAUUUUAUUUCCUGAGUUUAAGCCUAUUUCCUUGCAAUUAAAAAAAAAAUCAUUUAAAAACUGGCAAAGCUUAGGGCAACAUUAACUGAUAAUAAUCUUCGCAAAAUUGUUAACACUCUUCGAAAAUACUGUGUUACUCGUUGCUUUCUCCCUUCAACUAAAUCAGUAAUUCCCCUAAAACUUUCUAGUUAAGAAAACUUGAAAACUUAGCCACUGAACUGUUUUGGCCUUUUGGGAGGGGUGCGAAGAAAUGACCAAUUUGAUGCCAUAUUUCUUUUCUUUCCAGUAAGCCUUUGUGGUCUGUUACCUGAGGCAUGGACAAUAAAGUAGUAUGUGGUUCUCAAAUAUAGGGUGAGAGCUAGCAGACAUCUACUCACUGUGUUUAGAAUCACUCUCUACAAGAAUACUACUACUAUUAACUUGGCUAACAGGAAUAAAUUUAGGCUAAGAUCAUCUAGAUUAUACCAUCAUAUGAGCUACCUUUUGGAUAUUUCAUUUAAAUUUGAUUCUCUAGAUAAUUUGAUAGUUUCCUGUACUGGGGGCAUAAAAGAGACCUAAAUUACCUGUGCAAUGACUGACAUGUAUUUAUUCACUGGAAGAGUGUCAUUUACCCUGAUACGAGCACUACAUUAUAAUUGAUAAACUGGUUUUCUCUGGAGUUGCACACAAAUAAUAAAAGCUUAGAGAGCCUUGGUUAAAUAAACUCCCAAUGGUUUGGAGACCAAUAAAAAACAUGCAUGUAUGGGGCGCCUGGGUGGCUCAGUUGGUUAGGCGACUGCCUUCGACUCAGGUCAUGAUCCUGGGGUCCUGGGAUCGAGUCCCGCAUCGGGCUCCCUGCUCGGCGGGGAGCCUGCUUCUCCCUCUGACCCUCCCCCCUCUCAUGUGCUCUCUGGCUCUCUCAUUCUCUCUGUCUCAAAUAAAUAAAUAAAUAAAUAAACUGUUUAAAAAAAAAAACAUGCAUGUAUAACCAUUAUCAGUAGGAUGUGACUAUGCUGUGCUAAUCUUCUAUUUUGAUGAUUUUUUGCUUUGAAGAUAUGAAUGUCUACAUUGUAUCUGUGGGGAAGAAAUGUUGGCACAAAAUGAAAACUGCGAUCUUCACUUGUAAAAUAAAGUUCUAAAAUCUGAUUUGAGAAAGUCCACCCCCAAAAUAAUAGCACCUUAAAAAAUAAAAAGAAUUAUCUCCUUGAACCAGCAUGAGCCACUUCUACCUAAUGCCAUUCUUUUUGUAACCUUGAAAAAUAAAAUAAUUAUAUACAUUAAAAUUUAUACAGGGAUGUUGUAUGCUAUGCACGGUCACACAUAUCUCUUUAAAAUUCCACAUUUUAAAAAUUGCCAAUUAGUGGCGCCUGGGUGGCUCAGUUGGUUAAGCGUCUGCCUUUGGCUCAGGUCGUAAUCCCAGGGUCCUGGGAUCGAGUCCUGCAUCAGGCUCCCUGCUCAGCGGGGAGUCUGCUUGUCCCUCCCCUCGUCCCUCCCCGUGCUCAUGUGUGCGCUCGCGCGCGCUCUCUCUCUCUCAAAUAAAUAAAAUCUUUAAAAAAUUGCCAAUUAAAAUGAGUGCCUUUUCUCCAUGGCUUAUGAUUUAGAGCAAUUGGCAGUGGCUUCAUGGGCUCACCUUUGCCCAUUUCGUGUGUGGAGUCCGGUUGCUUCAGGUACCAUCGGUGAGUCUUCAUAUUUUGAAGAGAAUGUUAUAACUUUGAGGAAAAUAACUUGGGUGGGUUAGAUGUUAUUCUUGAAUUGUGUCAUACAAACAGUGUUUGAAAGCAUGGUUUCAGUAAAAUGAAGCAACAGAGCAUACUGCCACGACAGUUAGGUAACUAACAACGGUUUGGAAGCAGGCUUUUUGGUUCAGCAGUGUUUUAUGAUCAUUUUAUUCUCCAGUUACGUCCCCGUCAAAUUUUUUUUUCUUUUGGAAAUUACUAAAAUGUCAUAUAUUACAAACUAUAAGUGCAGGAAGAACUAGAGUUACUAAAAUCAGUGCUGACCUGAGGCAGUGGUAAAAAAAAAAAAAAUGUAUUUUUUUUCAUGAAGGAAAUGUAUUAAUUAUAAUGGAAAACAUUUUAAAAGUAAUAUUUAAGAAGCACUCCUGUAGUGGUGCAGUUCCCAUGUUUGUGUUUGAAUUUAGUGCAUGUCAUUUUUGAUUCAUUGCUGUUUUAUUUUAUUACAAAAAUAGAAGUAACCUAUACAAAGAAGCUUGGUGAUUGUGGAACUCCUUUUUCUUCUUCAAAAGGAAGAAAAAAAGUGAAGCUGGCGAAGUAUGUAGGUUUUAUAAUGGAAAGAAG